GGUUUCCUCCACAAGUCCAAGUCCAACAAGUCCAAAGACCUGCUACAGUGGGAUGAUGAUGAUGCUCCCUACCCACCUCUACAGAUGGUUAAAAGUCCUUUGCAAACUGUUGGACAAUAGGAGUUAAAAUGCAUUAUUACAUCCUUCGCCGUUUACUGUGUUUUCAACUUGGCUUAUCCACGCUACAUAAAGAAUGCAAAGGAUGAACAUCAGCAACUCCCUGAGAUGGAACAACAAUUUAAAUUUAAACAUCAGCAAUGGUGUGAAGAUGGUGAUCCAAAAUUACAAGAAAAACAAAUCAGUGCAGCUGUCCGAGAGAACUGGUUUUGCUGGGUCUGCAUCAAACAGCAAUGCUUGGAUCUUUGCAUUUACUUUUUUGCAUGCGUUUCGAGUCUGCAUCAGUAUUUUAAGACUAGCAGCUAUUGACAUUUCAAUAACAUUGCCCAAAUCAACUGAGAAGCACAAGAUGACACAAUGCUAAGAAUUUUUUCCGCCCAACAUCUUUGAUGAGAUUGACACAUUCAGGUGUUCAAAUUGAACUGUUUUUGUGAGCAUGUGAGACUGCUAAUGGAGAAGAAAUGACUCCUUCCUAAUGAAAUACAUUUUAAAUGUCAAUACUGCACUGGUUUCUGUGUGGCAAGUUUAUAAUACUGCUGUUGUAUGAUUCAUAUUUCCAUGCAAAUACACUAGGAGUUGACUUUGAAUGGGGUGUUAUAAACCAAGACAGAUGGACUUUCAGGCUCUUGAAACAUACUCUGCUGAUAAACUGUUUAAGAAUGUUUAGAAAUUUAAAUCAAAUGUGUAAUACUGUUUGAUCAAAUGUGUUUUUGAGAUCUAAAAUGAUUAAGGGUAUACAGUAAGUGACAUGUUUCAAUUUACUGUAUGGAAAAAGAUUGCUUUGAGAUUCUUGAUGCUUUUAGAAAAAUGUAGAAUGCAGUGCACUAACAAAAAUAUACUUCAUGAGGUC
Non-coding RNA from Danio rerio (zebrafish), 967 nucleotides. The record is from RefSeq and is a predicted model, not a curated record. NCBI's taxonomy places the organism in Eukaryota, Metazoa, Chordata, Actinopteri, Cypriniformes, Danionidae.